RNAcentral lists this ribosomal RNA (843 nucleotides) under uncultured archaeon. RNAcentral describes it as "bacterial SSU rRNA". It matches the Rfam family "Archaeal small subunit ribosomal RNA", at positions 27 to 872 of the family's 1478-position model. The record is from RNAcentral.
CUGCUAUCGGUGUCCGANUAANCCAUGCGAGUCAAAUGUUNUUCGUGAACAUGGCAGACUGCUCAGUAACACGUGGAUAACCUACCCUAAGGACAGGAAUAACCCCGGGAAACUGGGGAUAAUACNUGAUAAAUUAGAGAUGCUGGAAUGCCCUCUAAUUCAAAGGUCCGCCGCCUUAGGAUGGAUCUGCGGCUCAUCAGGUAGUAGUGGGUGUAACGUACCUACUAGCCUACGACGAGUACGGGUUGUGAGAGCAAGAGCCCGGAGAUGGAUUCUGAGACACGAAUCCAGGCCCUACGGGGUGCAGCAGGCGCGAAUCCUUUACAAUGCAGGCAACUGCGAUAAGGGGACACCGAGUGCCAGUGAAUUUCAUUGGCUGUCUUAAUGUUUAAAACGCAUUCAAUAGCAAGGGCUGGGCAAGACCGGUGCCAGCCGCCGCGGUAAUACCGGCAGCCCGAGUGGUAACCACUAUUAUUGGGUCUAAAGGGUCCGUAGCCGGGCCAAUCAGUCUUCUGGGAAAUCUGGCAGCUCAACUGUCAGGCGACUAGGGGAUACUGUUGGCCUUGGGACCGGAAGAGGUAAGAGGUACUUUAGGGGUAGGAGUGAAAUCUUGUAAUCCUUAAGGGACCACCAGUGGCGAAGGCGUCUUACCAGAACGGGUCCGACGGUGAGGGACGAAAGCUAGGGGCGCAAACCGGAUUAGAUACCCGGGUAGUCCUAGCCGUAAACGAUGUUCGCUAUGUGUCAGGGACGGCGUGACCGUUCCUGGUGCCGAAGGGAAGCUGUGAAGCGAACCACCUGGGAAGUACGGCCGCAAGGCUGAAACUUAAAGGAAUUGGCGGG